GCGAGGCAGAGCAAACCCCUAAAAGCCAUCCCAGUUCGGAUUGCAGGCUGCAACCCGCCUGUAUGAAGUUGGAAUCGCUAGUAAUCGCGGAUCAGCAUGCCGCGGUGAAUACGUUCCCGGGCCUUGUACACACCGCCCGUCACACCAUGAGAGUCGGGAACACCCGAAGUCCGUAGCCUAACCGCAAGGAGGGCGCGGCCGAAGGUGGGUUCGAUAAUUGGGGUGAAGUCGUAACAAGGUAGC
Molecule: ribosomal RNA, 243 nt
Filed under: uncultured bacterium
Lineage: Bacteria
Description: partial 16S ribosomal RNA
Rfam family: Bacterial small subunit ribosomal RNA
Source: RNAcentral